GCUGGGAUAGCUCGGGCAGUAGAGCAUGAGAAUCCUAAUCUCAGGGUCAUGGGUUGGAGCCUCACGCUGGGCA
Molecule: non-coding RNA, 73 nt
Organism: Podarcis lilfordi (Lilford's wall lizard)
Lineage: Eukaryota; Metazoa; Chordata; Lepidosauria; Squamata; Lacertidae
Source: the annotation of a GenBank genome assembly